UGCUCGGCUGCUGACAUCGAGAGGAAGAAGCAGGAAGCUCUCGCCAGGAAACGCAAGCGGAUGCAGAACUCCCAGAAAAACGAGACCUCCUGAAGAGCUGCUACUGUCCACUCAACCCCCAGGAGGGUGUGUUCUCGUCCAGAUCAGUGAUCGUUGCUCCGCUGGAUUAUUCCUCCAUGCUAUCUGUUUACAUUCCAGUGACAGCGGUUUUGUUUUAUUGCAUCAAACCGUCGUUGUCCGAACUCUCCCCAUGAGGUCAACCCUCCGUUGCUGGGGGUCAAGCCACCAUGUGUUGAGUAGAAUUCCAGAUGACCAGGCUCUUAAGACUAUGACAGCAUGAAGCGCAACACACCUACGGGAUCCACAAAGUCACCAUCGUCAGGUGGCCAACAUUUCUUUAAAGUCGAUGACCAUGAGACAUCCUGCCAAAUCACUGUUGCCUUCAUAUACGUACUGCUAUGUAGCCAUGCUAGUUAGCCAUGCUAUGUACCAACGCCGCACUUGCACUGUUUGUACUUAUCUUCGUGAUGGCUAACCCUUUUCGACCAAACCCAGAAUAAUAAAGUUAUUCCACCUUAAGCCUGACUGCUUCCUAACUGACUCACAAAAUGGCCGCCGCCACAUCAGAAAAACCGAGAGGCCGCAUCCGGACCCUCUCCAGACCCCCAGUAGCACUACCCCCGUUCCUUAUUGUUCGACAGGCGACGCCUGACUGACACUCUGACCUGAGCCCCUUAAUGAACACCUGGACUCCCAGCUGCAGGACAGCACCCAUCCAUCACCUGGCUGACACCGUCACCGUAUCCAAACACAUCCUCAGCACUGGGCUCCAGUUCCACAGCGCGUUGUCUCAGAACAUGAACACCGCCAGACACGCCUCCUAGAAUCUAGACCUAGACUAGUCUAACCUCGUUUCCUGAGAGUUAAGUAGAUAACUAACUAGACCUAGACUAGUCUAACCUCGUUACCUGAGGGUUAAUUGGAUAACUAACUAGACCUAGACUAGUCUAACGUCGUUACCUCAGAUUUAAGUAGAUAACUUACUAGACCUAGACUGGUCUAACCUCGUUACCUGAGGGUUGAUUAGAUAACUAACUAGACCUAGACUAGUCUAACGUCGUUACCUCAGAGUUAAGUAGAUAACUAACUAGACCUAGGCUAGUCUAAGCUCGUUACCUCAGAGUUAAAUAAAUAAAAGAACAAAACUCAGCUUCUGGACGACUCUUGCAGCAGAGGUACGAGCUGCUCACCUGGAGGAAUCAAACCAUGGCCGGCCGCGCCCAGAACCUCCUGACUGUCAACGCUGGAGAUAAUGGAGGACGUCUCCCAUGCAGUCAAAUCUCUCUUUUCAACACUUCUCCACUGGUGGACCCGUGAUAUCCGCCAUGUGCAGGUCCUCAUUACGGGACGGUCAUCAUUUGUAUUAAACUGGAGGAUUAUGGAGUAUUGGACAGUUUAGAGCUCAGCUUGGAGCGACCGGCCAACAAUGAGGCUCUUUAUGCCCCGGGACAACCCCUCCCCCCCCCCCAGGCGGAUGACUCACCUGAGCCCAGGUGUGUGUGUGUGUGUGUGUGCGCGUGUGUGUGUGAACAUGCUCUCACACACCCACGCAUUCCUGAACAUGCAUUCCUGACACG
This 1637-nucleotide long non-coding RNA is filed under the name Gadus morhua (Atlantic cod). Its description in RNAcentral is "lncRNA (ENSGMOG00000029691.1)". The record is from RNAcentral. Lineage: Eukaryota; Metazoa; Chordata; Actinopteri; Gadiformes; Gadidae.